Long non-coding RNA from Girardinichthys multiradiatus, 711 nucleotides. RefSeq lists it as uncharacterized. The transcript has 3 exons. The record is from RefSeq and is a predicted model, not a curated record. Lineage: Eukaryota; Metazoa; Chordata; Actinopteri; Cyprinodontiformes; Goodeidae.
UGCAUAGAAACAUCCCUGGAAGAAAACAGUAAAAAAGGGAAACCCUGCAUAUCUGCUUGUGUGGGUGUGCGUGUUUCUUCUAGCAUGUCUGCUAAAAAUGUUUGUGUUCAUUGCAGGCUGAGUGGAUGUGUGAAGGGGAGAGUGCUGCUUUUCCUAUAGGCCACAGUUUGAUGAGGGAUGAGUCAUCCAGAUGGAGACCCCGAGGAACGGAGGCAGCUGAUGAAUGGAGUGGAACGUUCCCCCACAGGAUAACUAAAUGCAGUUGCUGUACUCUACGUCCUUCAGCAAGCUGGCUGUUUGCAGGUUGGUGCGUGUGUGUGACCAGCAGUUGAUUCCUCACAGCUGGAACUCGUCAAGCCAAAUCAGGAGGACCAUAUAAAGGAGCGGAUUCCCUACGGUAAAUGCCAAAUUGUUUUGCUCCAUGAAUGGCAAUCAGGCGUAUUACUUCUUAGUUCCUGUGUUUUUUUAUGUUCCAUGCUUACGUCUUGUCUGUUGUCUCCUCUUCAAAAAAACAAUUUCCCAGUUCAUGCUUUGUUCCUGGAUUCUGGUGUUCUGCCUCUUUGUUCAGUUCAUUGAAGAACUGAAGUCAAAACGGUGAAUAUCCUCACCCCCUCCCCUGGUUCAUGCUAUCAGGACCCCUCUACAACCAUCACAUUACUCAACUACUUGUCCACUCUCAGCACUCCAUCGCCUCUCCCGUCUCCACCUAAA